UGGUACACGUGCCAGAGUAAUUUUAAAUCUCGUUUCAGGAUGACAUCGUUGAAUCAUCGCUCACACGGAAGGAAGCUCCGAAUCAUGCUAAAAACAAGCUGGCAACUGGUACGUAGGAUGAUAUAUGUUUUGGAUUGCUAUCUCGAAGAGAAGACUCGAUAAAUUUUCUUCAGCGUCCUAACCAAAUAUCGUGUUCAUCGCUUCGACGACUUCCCGCGGUAGACGUGGACGUCGCGCGGAGGAGUCGCAACGCGGAAGCCUCGUCUAGCGUUCUAAGCUCGCUAAUAACCUGGCGGCGGGUCAUUAUUCUAGAGAAGGAGGUAACGGAGGCGGCGGUCGCACGCACAGUUUCCCACUCAAAAUGAAAAACCCGAACGCGACCCGUCGUAGAGGGGGCAACGGUGAUGCAUGCACCGAAUACUUUCAGUGUCGGACGCCGACGAAUCGUGGUGGGGAAACUCGUGUCUGACGCCACUACGCACAUCUCUACCCCAAGCUUAGUCUAGCCUUAAUAGUCAUCCACUGGAAGCCGGAGACGAUGAAGCUGGCCAGAACGAAACGUCUUUCUCUGGAUCUUAUUCUGCUACGGCAAUCUCCGUUUCCACGCUUCGUCAAUUUCUCUUGGCAGGGACAUCGAGUGACAUUUAAGUGAUAUUCAAGUGAUAUUUAAGCGGUGCUUCGAAUGGUACGCGUAACGGUGAGAUUUUCUGACCAGUUUCGUGAUUAAUUGCUGAUCAACGUGGUGUUUGACAGUUGGCUGCCUUCGAUCGGACUGCAUCGCUUUGUUUGCGACCAUGUCGAAUGCUAGUUCGAUCGAAGUGCAGCCGCGAUUGAACUGGACACGUCUGAUCUUUUAUCCAAGUUGAACGUCGCGAAGGUAGUGUGAUAUAUAUAUAUUUUUUUAAAUAAAUUCUCGGUGAGCGUUGGUGCGAAAAUUUGAAUAAAAUUCGUGUGGUUGAUUAUACAAUCUUUGUGGUGCUUGAUCGAAGUGACAGACUCGUCGGUGGAAAUAUAUAGAGUUUUUUCGCUUUUCUUCGGUGGUUGUUACAGUGAAUUGUUGAUAUAUUCUUUUUCUGUUCAGUUUGAUUUAUUAUCGAACGUAAUUAAUCAUUUAUUCGGUAUAAAUAUGAGUUUCGUUUCUAUUGUUGGACGAUUACAAAUACAUUUCUUGCGAGUUUUAGUGAUUCAUAUAUUUUUUUCGAGACACGAGACUCACGUACCAUGUUCGUACGAGAUAACGAUCAGUAUGAUUCUUCUUUUCUUUUUUAGCGGUGAUGAUUCACCUGUGGUGAACAAGACAAAGCGUUGUUUAUCGUGGCGAGUCUCGUUUCUCGGAUACAUGUGAGAACGGAUACAGUGAUACACACUAGGAUCUAAUGGAUGACACACAAAAUUUAUUCGAUGAAUCACGGACGAUUGGAGUGGUCAUGUACAAAAAUAAAAAUAAAAUCAACGUUUAGCGAGA
This is a long non-coding RNA of Bombus pascuorum, 1465 nucleotides long. RefSeq lists it as uncharacterized. The record is from RefSeq and is a predicted model, not a curated record. The transcript is spliced from 2 exons. Lineage: Eukaryota; Metazoa; Arthropoda; Insecta; Hymenoptera; Apidae.